AGAACGAACGCUGGCGGCAGGCCUCAAACAUGCAAGUCUAGGGGAUGUAGCAAUACAUCACCGGCGGACGGGUGCGUAACACGUGGGAAUAUACCUUUCGGUACGGAACAACUGCGGGAAACUGCAGCUAAUACCGUAUACGUCCUUACGGAGAAAGAUUUAUCGCCGAAGGAUUAGCCCGCGUUCGAUUAGCUAGUUGGUGAGGUAAUGGCUCACCAAGGCGACGAUCGAUAGCUGUUCUGAGAGGAAGAUCAGCCACACUGGGACUGAGACACGGCCCAGACUCCUACGGGAGGCAGCAGUUGGGAAUCUUGGACAAUGGGGGAAACCCUGAUCCAGCCAUGCCGCGUGAGUGAUGAAGGCCUUCGGGUUGUAAAGCUCUUUUACCCGGGAAGAUAAUGACUGUACCGGGAGAAUAAGCUCCGGCUAACUUCGUGCCAGCAGCCG
Molecule: ribosomal RNA, 447 nt
Filed under: uncultured bacterium
Lineage: Bacteria
Description: SSU rRNA
Rfam family: Bacterial small subunit ribosomal RNA
Source: RNAcentral